UACGGAGGAUGCAAGCGUUAUCCGGAAUGAUUGGGCGUAAAGCGUCCGCAGGUGGCGAUGUAAGUCUGCUGUUAAAGAGUCUAGCUCAACUAGAUACAAGCAGUGGAAACUACAUAGCUAGAGUACGUUCGGGGCAGAGGGAAUUCCUGGUGUAGCGGUGAAAUGCGUAGAGAUCAGGAAGAACACCGGUGGCGAAGGCGCUCUGCUAGGCCGUAACUGACACUGAGGGACGAAAGCUAGGGGAGCGAAUGGGAUUAGAUACCCCAGUAGUCCUAGCCGUAAACGAUGGAUACUAGGCGUGGCUUGUAUCGACCCGAGCCGUGCCGUAGCUAACGCGUUAAGUAUCCCGCCUGGGGAGU
This 359-nucleotide ribosomal RNA is filed under the name uncultured Nostoc sp. Its description in RNAcentral is "bacterial SSU rRNA". It matches the Rfam family "Bacterial small subunit ribosomal RNA", at positions 524 to 881 of the family's 1533-position model. The record is from RNAcentral. Lineage: Bacteria; Bacillati; Cyanobacteriota; Cyanophyceae; Nostocales; Nostocaceae.